This 84-nucleotide ribosomal RNA is filed under the name Vibrio parahaemolyticus. The record is from RNAcentral. Lineage: Bacteria; Pseudomonadati; Pseudomonadota; Gammaproteobacteria; Vibrionales; Vibrionaceae.
CUUGGCGACCAUAGCGUUUUGGACCCACCUGACUCCAUUCCGAACUCAGAAGUGAAACGAAAUAGCGCCGAUGGUAGUGUGGGG